UCAUACAGAAUCCCCAGCCUUAGGUUACCGGAUGAACUCGUGGGAUUUGCAGCGGAGAAGAUCCUUUGCCUCCCAAAAAACACUUUAAUUUCAAGCGGGAGCGCACGGCACACCCACGCUUUCAGGUCGAAUUUCUCUGUUCUGUUUGGUUGCGGAAAAAGUGAAAGAAAAGAAAAGGAAAAUGAGAGAAAACUUGAAAUGGUGCAUCACACUGCCAAUUUUAUGGCAAUCGCUUGUCGGAGACGAAGCUCUCCUGUCUUGUCCUAUGGAAUCCCGAGGACCGCUAGGGUUCUCCGAGGGAUUUGUGGUUUGUUAUGUGGUUGCGCUUGGUUGCCGAGAAAAUAUUGGAAACUGUGAUUGCAUUUUUCCAUUGCUUACAGGUGGAUGGAUGGAACUGAUAUUGGAACAAGCAGUACUCUGGCUGAAGAUGAUAUGGAGGUAAAACCUCUUAGUUCACAAGUCUUGGAAUUUGACAUAGUAAUUCCCUCUGUUGAUAAUGCACAACCUAAUAUUUCUUUAGAAGAAGAAGCUGGCAUGGAUAUGGUACCAAAAAUUGGAAUGGAGUUUGAAUCUGAUGAUCAAGCAUAUGAAUUUUACAGUAAUUAUGCUAGAUUGACAGGGUUUACUGUUAGGAAUAAUCAUUUAGACAAGAGUGAGAUGAAUGGUGAAGUGCUAGCAAGAAGGUUUCCUUGCUCUAAAGAAAGUUUUGUACAGAAUGACAAAUAUGGUGCUAAUGCGAGGAAACGUAGGAAGGAAAGGAAAACCGGUUGCUUGGCACAAAUGGUCGUUUCUCGCCAAUCCAAUGGUAAAUAUGCUGUCAUCCAUUUUGAAGCUAAACACAAUCAUGAAGUUAGGGCCCCAGAUGAAGCCUGCAGUGUACCACCAGAAGGGAGAUUAACUGAUGCUCAAGCUGCUGGUGUUGACUCAGAGGAUAGUUUUAGGAGACACUCAGAAUCAGCCUUUGACUAUAACAACCAUUUGCAUUCUAGGAGGAGAAGAGAAAUGAAGGAAGGAGAGGAAAUAAUUUUGUUGGAUUGUCUACAGAAGCGGCAAUUGGAAGAUCCGUCAUUCUUUUAUGAAGUGCAACAUGAUAUUGAUGAUUAUAUAACCAACAUAUUUUGGGCUGAUAAACAGAUGAUUGUGGACUAUGGCCAGUUUGGUGAUGUGGUUUGCUUCGAUACAACUUUCAGAACUAACAAAGAUUGCCAACCAUUAGUGCCAUUUGUUGGUGUGAAUCAUCACAAGCAAGUAGUUAUAUUUGGUGCUGCACUUUUAUAUGAUGAUACUAUUGGAUCUUUUGAGGUACUAUUUCAAACAUUUAUGACAGCAAUGUCUGGACAGAAGCCAAAGACAAUUCUCACAGAUCAACAUGCAGCAAUUAGUGAAGCGAUCAAUUUGGUGAUGCCAGAAACAAAUCAUCGUAUAUGUAUCUGGAAUAUAUACCACAAUGCUCUUUUACAUCUAAGCCAUGCGUUUGAUGGCCCAGGCUCUUUUUCCAGAGAUUUUAGCAGCUGCAUUUAUGAUCAUGAAGAUAAAGAGGACUUCAUUCAGGCGUGGAAGGUAAUGUUGGAUACACACAAUCUUCGGAAAAAUAAGUGGUUGAAGGGGAUAUUUGAUGAAAGAGAGAAAUGGGCUAUUGCCUAUGGAAGGCAUACUUUUUACGCAGAUCUAAAAAACUCAGAGUUAAUUAACAGUUUUAAUAGAAACUUGAUGGAUCACUUAAACCCUGACCUAGAUAUAUUGCAAACUUUUGAGCAUUUCGAAAGGAUGGUGUCUGAUCUACGUUGCAAAGAAUUAGAAGCUAGUUAUGACAUAUUUGAACAGUUGCCAUCAUUGUUGGGGAAUGUGAUAUUGUUAAAGCAUGCGAGGGAUGUUUAUACACCAGAAGUCUUUGAAGUGUUUCAACGAGAAUAUGAGAAGUGUCUGAAUCUGGUUGUUAAUGAGUGUGGUUCAAGUGGAUCUUUAUUUGAGUACAAGGUAAACAUAUAUGAACAUUCUCGAGAGCAUAAAGUUACAUUUAAUCCAUCAAAUGAUACAGUAGUCUGCAGUUGUAUGAAGUUUGAAUUUGAUGGAGUUUUGUGCAGCCAUGCUUUAAAAGUGCUUGACCAAAGGAACAUUAAGGUAGUUCCAACACAAUACAUGUUAAAUAGGUGGACAAAAGAUGCAAGGGUUGGAAGUGUAAGAGAUGGUCAUGGGUCUAUCAUAGAAGAAGACCCUAUGUUGGCUGCAGCAGACAAUUUUAAAAUCUUGUGCCAUAAGGCAGUUAAAAUGGCAGCUGUGGCUGCUGAAUCUGGAGAAGCAUAUCAACAUGUUAACAUAAGAUUCGAUGAGAUAAUGCAAGGCUUGGAGAAGAUUUCAAAGAUAAAGGCCCUUAUGGAUAUUCAGGUAGCAGAGAACUCUGGUCGAUUUGAUGGAGAUGGAGAUGUGUAUUUUAGAGAUGAACCUGCUUUCCCUGGAGGUUCUUCGAUGAGUACAAGUGAUUUUAUAUCCACUGGCUUCACAACUUCCCCAGAUUACUUGAUGCUUCAACAUGGCGCUAUGGCCCCAAGGGCCCAAGGACCCUCUGCAAUGCUUGUGGGCUUCGGUAUAAGAAGGAACACAUAAAGCUAUGGGAAACUCCUAUCCAUUGUUCAAACCCCAAGGGUUCAACAAAGAGAAGAAAAUCCUCCACAACAAAUGAGUUCUAAGUUGUGUCUGGAUAUCGGUUGCUUCAUCUUUUUGUGUCUCUGCUUAUCCCUUCUAUUACUAUUUACAUCAUACAUGAUGACUUCGAUAAAAAGUCUGAUAUUUAUUGUUAGUCCAUGAGAUCACACAUAGGAAACUCUCUCUUUCAGCGACCCUUGUCAAAUCACUUCAAAGUUGUUUUUAUGAAAAAUCUUUUGGCUGCUCUUUUCAUUGUUUGGAUGCUAUUUUCCUUUUAAUUUAUUCCCUCUUCCUUGGAGGCUUAUGUUACAAGUUUGAUGCCAGCGGUUUUUGAUGGCAUUUCUUUUCCUCUAGUUAGUUUUGCGUGUUAGGGGACCCAAUGCUCAGCAGAUCACCAAAAUAAAAUUUUCUUUUCCCCAGGGAACCAGUGUGGGUAGCAAGACCCAAACAUUUUAUCACAGGGAAGGGGGAAGGGUUGUGACUGAUGAUUCUGUGAUACGUGCAACCGGGGAAUGUGUGAAAUGCAGGAAGCUAGGGUCCUAGAAAGUGUUAUGAGAUAAGAGCAAGCAUCCAUAAUCGUGAGUAACAUGCAGAGAACUCCAAGUUUGUUUUCUCUUUCAUGUCUUGAGCUUUGUCUGCACAGCUUUGAAACUUCUUGUCGGCAUUUCAUCUGUCCCUUUCUGCUGCCUUCCCACGAGUCUAUUCAUUUACGAGGAAAAAGAAAAGGGAAAAAAAAAAACAAAAAGAAAAAAGUAUGGGACUAGGAAGUAGGAAGCAGCUUAGGAAUUAGAAGUGUAAAUUAUCAAAUAGUAGUAAUAUUAUAAUAGUAAAUUGCACAUACCGACCACCAUCGGUUAAACUACUUACUGGCACAUUUGCAGAAAUUCCUUGGCCCCCUACGUAAUAUUCUGAGAUGUUGAGGACUUGAAGUACGCUCCAACCAAAAGCUGGUUACCAAGCUAGAAAUCACAAUGUUUCUUGCUGUAGUUAUAAUUAUUGAUGUUGAUUCCUCUUGUUGCCUUUCUAUACCCUUUUUUUUUUAUCGGUUUUUACCGUAUCUGACAAGCUGGAUUUACCACAGUUUCCCAUAUUUGGAUACUACCAUGUUUUCUGGGCCAGUUGCUCAUUUCAUCUCUAAACGAGUUACGGGCCCCAAAGUGACAUUAGUGCUGGAUCAUAGUAACCCACAGCUGGCUUGCAAAAAGCAUCUUAAAAGAGCUAACCCAGAGCAAGAACAUCUUGGUUGGUUGCUUAAUAGUUAAUACUAAAUGCAUAUAAGCCUCAAAAAUAAAUGCUCAAAUUCCUAUCUAGUCUUUUAGGGCAAAUAGUUUCUCAACAUCACCAUACAUUGAAAGCAAAUACACACACACACAACAGGAGGAAUAAUUAAUAGCAUCUACCGCCACUCUUAAGACAAAGCCCAAGGCUACUAAAGCUAAUGUAGUUGUUCGUAAAGCAAAAUUAGAAGCCCAGAGCUCUAUGAUAUGAUAAUUGCUACUUCAACAAAGUUAAAUUCCAGCUGCCAUAAUGAUAAAAAAAGAAAAAAGGCGAACUGAUUUCCCACUCAUGUCCCCUCCCCACCCCACUACUACUAUGGUACAGCAGUGCGCCAUUUAUAUUGCAGAUUUGCGCAACUCACCAGCCCCAUGAGCAAAGUGACACCUUUCUCCAAAGGUGCAUGACCCUUUUGUAAAAUUGUCGCACAACUUAGUCUUGUAGUUGCUGGCCGGAGGGGCUUGGCCACCACCUGGCAUUGCAGUUGUUCUUGCAUGCCCUGGCAUUGCACUGAUGUUCACAAUUAGUUCUCUUACCAUUGCACUCGCUUCUUUUAUCUGUUCAAAAGUCCCCUCCAGUUCAAUAUUCCUCAGAUUUGGAUCUGAAUCAUGCUCCCGUAUGGAAAGUUUGGCCCCUGUUUGGCGACAUAUCUGCUUCGAGUUCACACCGCCCUUCCCAAUGAUGGCUCCAGCCAACGAUGCAUCUACGCUAAUUUUGGCAGUGGCUGAGGCACCAAAGCUAGCAGCAGGGCCUGUUGGUGACGGUUCAAUUCGACCAGCUAAGCGGCCUGGGAUGGAUCCCAUGGCUCGAGGAUCAUCAUGAUAUGGAGCAAGUGGCUUGCCAAGCUCCCAUUCACCAUGGGCAAAAUGACAUUUGUCACCAAAUUUGCAGCCUUCUGCAGUGUUGAAUUUGUUGCACAUUUUACUCUUAACAGCAGGCAUGGAGGAGCCGUUUGGAACAGGAGGUGGUGGCCCUGCCAUGUUUCUCGAGGCUGGAGGAAGAAUCGGUGCCUGAUUGGUCAUCUGAGCCACGGCAUUGUAGCCACCAGGGACAUAGUGGAGGAAGUGGCAGCUCUCCCCAAAAGGACAGCCAGAGGUGCUG
Vitis vinifera (wine grape) is the source of this 5019-nucleotide RNA transcript. It is a transcript of the gene named protein FAR1-RELATED SEQUENCE 12, with no coding region annotated. The record is from RefSeq and is a predicted model, not a curated record. NCBI's taxonomy places the organism in Eukaryota, Viridiplantae, Streptophyta, Magnoliopsida, Vitales, Vitaceae. The transcript is spliced from 6 exons.